GGAGUAGGACGGACGGCCGCUGCCCUGCCUUGAACGACAGGGGGGAGGAAAGUCCGGGCUCCGCAGGACAGGAUGCUGGGUAACGCCCAGUCCCGGCGACGGGAAGGAAAGUGCCACAGAAAGUAAACCGCCUGCCAAAGCAGGUAAGGGUGAAAAGGCGAGGUAAGAGCUCACCAGUCCCGCCGGUGACGGCGGGAGCUAGGUAAACCCCAUCCGGAGCAAGACCGAAUAGGGAGGCGUUAAGGAUGGUCCGUCCGUGCCUCCGGGUAGGUUGCUUGAUCCAGCCGGUAACGGUUGGACUAGAGGAAUGGUCGUCAUCCGUUCGGGGGUAACCCCGAUUGGAGACAGAACCCGGCUUACGGCCUUCUCCGACA
Non-coding RNA from Desulfobacteraceae bacterium CG2_30_51_40, 374 nucleotides. The record is from Rfam. NCBI's taxonomy places the organism in Bacteria, Pseudomonadati, Thermodesulfobacteriota, Desulfobacteria, Desulfobacterales, Desulfobacteraceae.